GUAAGUCAAAUAAAUGAUAGAUGCACAUCUUAGUAAUUGACAAUAUAUCAAGUCUUGCAGGUAUAGCUAGUCUUUGUAGUUGAAGCCCCAAAUCCGCGCUUUCUUUAUUCAACUGAAAGGAUUGAACUCACGUCCAGCUCGGAAGUCAAAGGGAAGAAAGACUACUUUUAUUCCGCUUCCUAUCAUCUCUUCUAGGAGUUUCGCAUGUAGCAAGGGAAGGGACCUUAGUGAAUGCAGAAUUGAUAGCAGUGAGUGAGUCCUUGAAUUGAAGGUCGAUGAAAUUGAGCUCUGAUGGACUUAGGGCAUAAAGAUAGAGCCCAGGCCCUGGAUAGGAUUAUAGAGGAGUAUUCAAGAGUUCUUAACCUUCUUAGCCAAUUCAUUCCAUGCAAAGGGAUAAACGCCUUCUACCUAUAGUAGCGAAAGCUAUCAUUAUUCUUAUGGAGAAAUAGAAGUAGCAAAUAUUGCAAUACAAAGUAGUUUGCCCUAUCCUACUCCUAUUAGGUGUGGUAUUCUUAGAUUUAGGUAAAGUAUCAGCACUCUAGUAGUCAAACUCUAAAAGAGGACAUACUAGAUCGAUUAACUAUAGUUAUUCUAAGACUUUUGAUAAGAAACUAUAUUCCGCAUUCCGCUUCGGAGAAUCUCUUGUAGAUCAAUGAAAGCAUGAAAGGGAAAUCAAGAAAGGAAGGCAUAUAGCGCGUGAAGGAAGGGAGUAUAUAAAUUGAUAAGGAGAUGGAAAAAUGCCUAUAAGCCACUCCUUAACCCUUAAGCAGUGGGCUCAAAAAGGAAGCAGGAAAGAAGAUCCUAGAAUAGGUCUAGUGUUAAAAGGCAGGUGCAAAGCGAAGCUCCAAGUAUGGAAGAACUAGCUUUACCAGUAAAAGUUCUUUGGAACAAGAACUUCUAUCACUGCGUUUGUCAAUCCAGCCACUUCCUUCAAUAAAUGGUAUGGCAUUCCCCUUAUUGAAUAUCCAUGCAUCUCUGGAAGACAGUCCAGUCAAAGAUGUACGGUUAAGUAGAUCACAGGCCAGGUAGAGCUCGGCAUCAAAGAAAUAAUACUUAUAUUCUGAUGGGUUAUCUCAGAAAGAUUACUUUUAUUCUGCUUGCUAUCAUCUCUUCUAGAAGUUUGGCAUGUAGUAAGGGAAGGGACCUUAGUGAAUGCAGAAUUGAUAGCAGUGAGUGAAUCCUUGAAUUUAAGGUCGAUGAAAUUGAGCUCGAACGAAGCUAGAGGCGAACAAAAUUAGCUAUUAAGCUAGGGUUAGACUAAGAAGAAUCUUUCGACCGUAAUUUUGCUCAAUGAAAUAAACUAAGGGUUUUUAUAUAGAAACUAUGGGCCUUAGCGAGAAGUGGCACU
RNAcentral lists this long non-coding RNA (1348 nucleotides) under Nicotiana benthamiana. Its description in RNAcentral is "long non-coding RNA (NBEN_LNC010505)". The record is from RNAcentral. Lineage: Eukaryota; Viridiplantae; Streptophyta; Magnoliopsida; Solanales; Solanaceae.